Molecule: ribosomal RNA, 167 nt
Filed under: Escherichia coli
Lineage: Bacteria; Pseudomonadati; Pseudomonadota; Gammaproteobacteria; Enterobacterales; Enterobacteriaceae
Description: partial 23S ribosomal RNA
Rfam family: Bacterial large subunit ribosomal RNA (bases 1-150)
Source: RNAcentral
CUAAGCACGAAACUUGCCCCGAGAUGAGUUCUCCCUGACUCCUUGAGAGUCCUGAAGGAACGUUGAAGACGACGACGUUGAUAGGCCGGGUGUGUAAGCGCAGCGAUGCGUUGAGCUAACCGGUACUAAUGAACCGUGAGGCUUAACCUUACAACGCCGAAGCUGUU